RNAcentral lists this ribosomal RNA (1432 nucleotides) under uncultured organism. RNAcentral describes it as "SSU rRNA". It matches the Rfam family "Bacterial small subunit ribosomal RNA". The record is from RNAcentral.
GCUAGCUACAGGCUUAACACAUGCAAGUCGAGGGGCAUCAGGAAGAAAGCUUGCUUUCUUUGCUGGCGACCGGCGCACGGGUGAGUAACACGUAUCCAACCUGCCCUUUACUCGGGGAUAGCCUUUCGAAAGAAAGAUUAAUACCCGAUAGCAUAAUGAUUCCGCAUGGUUUCAUUAUUAAAGGAUUCCGGUAAAGGAUGGGGAUGCGUUCCAUUAGGUUGUUGGUGAGGUAACGGCCCACCAAGCCUUCGAUGGAUAGGGGUUCUGAGAGGAAGGUCCCCCACAUUGGAACUGAGACACGGUCCAAACUCCUACGGGAGGCAGCAGUGAGGAAUAUUGGUCAAUGGGCGCUAGCCUGAACCAGCCAAGUAGCGUGAAGGAUGAAGGCUCUAUGGGUCGUAAACUUCUUUUAUAUAAGAAUAAAGUGCAGUAUGUAUACUGUUUUGUAUGUAUUAUAUGAAUAAGGAUCGGCUAACUCCGUGCCAGCAGCCGCGGUAAUACGGAGGAUCCGAGCGUUAUCCGGAUUUAUUGGGUUUAAAGGGAGCGUAGGUGGACUGGUAAGUCAGUUGUGAAAGUUUGCGGCUCAACCGUAAAAUUGCAGUUGAUACUGUCAGUCUUGAGUACAGUACAGGUGGGCGGAAUUCGUGGUGUAGCGGUGAAAUGCUUAGAUAUCACGAAGGACUCCGAUUGCGAAGGCAGCUCACUGGACUGCAACUGACACUGAUGCUCGAAAGUGUGGGUAUCAAACAGGAUUAGAUACCCUGGUAGUCCACACAGUAAACGAUGAAUACUCGCUGUUUGCGAUAUACAGUAAGCGGCCAAGCGAAAGCAUUAAGUAUUCCACCUGGGGAGUACGCCGGCAACGGUGAAACUCAAAGGAAUUGACGGGGGCCCGCACAAGCGGAGGAACAUGUGGUUUAAUUCGAUGAUACGCGAGGAACCUUACCCGGGCUUAAAUUGCAGUGGAAUGAUGUGGAAACAUGUCAGUGAGCAAUCACCGCUGUGAAGGUGCUGCAUGGUUGUCGUCAGCUCGUGCCGUGAGGUGUCGGCUUAAGUGCCAUAACGAGCGCAACCCUUAUCUUUAGUUACUAACAGGUUAUGCUGAGGACUCUAGAGAGACUGCCGUCGUAAGAUGUGAGGAAGGUGGGGAUGACGUCAAAUCAGCACGGCCCUUACGUCCGGGGCUACACACGUGUUACAAUGGGGGGUACAGAAGGCAGCUAGCGGGUGACCGUAUGCUAAUCCCAAAAUCCUCUCUCAGUUCGGAUCGAAGUCUGCAACCCGACUUCGUGAAGCUGGAUUCGCUAGUAAUCGCGCAUCAGCCACGGCGCGGUGAAUACGUUCCCGGGCCUUGUACACACCGCCCGUCAAGCCAUGGGAGCCGGGGGUACCUGAAGUACGUAACCGCAAGGAUCGUCCUAGGGUAAAACUG